ACAACCGCUUUUUAAAAGUCUGUUUCUGUUUUUGUAAGUAUUAGGCAAAUACCUGCGUGAAAUUCCAUAAGGCCAGGGCUCAGGACCUCCCAUUAACUGUCGCGCCCCAAGACCCGGGUAGUGGGCCCGGGCCCCAGGGACAUCUUCCCCACCCCCAGGCUCUGUGGGGGCGCGGGCAAGGUGCAGGGUGGGGGGUCUGUCGAGCCUGCCUCGUCCCCCAGGCUGGUUCCCCGGCGAGUCGGGCCCUGCCGUGGCCCCUGAGGAGGGGGCGGCGAUCGCGCGAUGCGGCUGCGACCACGACUGCGGCGCCCAGGGGAACCCGGUGUGCGGCUCCGACGGGGUGGUCUACGCCAGCGCCUGCCGCCUGCGGGAGGCCGCCUGCCGCCAGGCCGCGCCCCUGGAGCCCGCGCCUCCCAGCUGCUGCGCCCUCGCGGCUGCCGGCCUCGGCGUCCUCCACCUACGGGGAUGACCUGGCUUCUGUGGCCCCGGGGCCUUUACAGCAGGACGUGAAGCUGAAUGGAGCCGGCCUUGAGGUGGUGGACUCAGACCCUGAGCCU
Molecule: small RNA, 557 nt
Filed under: Pan troglodytes (chimpanzee)
Lineage: Eukaryota; Metazoa; Chordata; Mammalia; Primates; Hominidae
Description: retained intron
Source: RNAcentral